Molecule: ribosomal RNA, 468 nt
Filed under: uncultured bacterium
Lineage: Bacteria
Description: partial 16S ribosomal RNA
Rfam family: Bacterial small subunit ribosomal RNA
Source: RNAcentral
GACGAACGCUGGCGGCGUGCUUAACACAUGCAAGUCGAACGGAAAGGCCCUGCUUUUGUGGGGUGCUCGAGUGGCGAACGGGUGAGUAACACGUGAGUAACCUGCCCUUGACUUUGGGAUAACUUCAGGAAACUGGGGCUAAUACCGGAUAGGAGCUCCUGCUGCAUGGUGGGGGUUGGAAAGUUUCGGCGGUUGGGGAUGGACUCGCGGCUUAUCAGCUUGUUGGUGGGGUAGUGGCUUACCAAGGCUUUGACGGGUAGUCGGCCUGAGAGGGUGACCGGCCACAUUGGAACUGAGAUACGGCCCAGACGCCUACGGGAGGCAGCAGUGGGGAAGAUUGCACGAUGGGCGGAAGCCUGAUGCAGCAACGCCGCGUGCGGGAUGACGGCCUUCGGGUUGUAAACCGCUUUCGCCUGUGACGAAGCGUGAGUGACGGUAAUGGAUAAAGAAGCACCGGCUAACUACGUG